RNAcentral lists this ribosomal RNA (253 nucleotides) under uncultured bacterium. RNAcentral's name for it is "partial 16S ribosomal RNA". It matches the Rfam family "Bacterial small subunit ribosomal RNA", at positions 524 to 776 of the family's 1533-position model. The record is from RNAcentral.
UACGAGAGGCCCAACCGUUAUUCGGAUUUACUGGGCUUAAAGAGUUCGUAGGCGGCUUGGAAAGUGGGGUGUGAAAGCCCUCGGCUCAACCGAGGAAUUGCGCUCCAAACUACCGAGCUUGAGUAGGCUAGAGGUGAGCAGAACUGAUGGUGGAGCGGUGAAAUGCGUUGAUAUCAUCAGGAAUACCGGAGGCGAAGGCGGCUCACUGGGACCUAACUGACGCUGAGGAACGAAAGCUAGGGGAGCAAACGGG